CAAAAUGUAAUUUAAUUAAACUACCUCGCCUACACCGAGAAAAUACCUGCGCGAAUCAGGUCAUUUUGA
Molecule: transfer RNA, 69 nt
Filed under: Amolops larutensis (Larut sucker frog)
Lineage: Eukaryota; Metazoa; Chordata; Amphibia; Anura; Ranidae
Description: tRNA-Val
Source: RNAcentral